GACGAACGCUGGCGGCGGGCUUAACACAUGCAAGUCGAACGGAAAGGCCCUGAUUGUGUGGGGUGCUCGAGUGGCGAACGGGUGAGUAACAGGUGAGUAACCUGCCCUAGACUUUGGGAUAACUUCAGGAAACUGGGGCUAAUACCGGAUCGGAGCUCAUCCUGCGUGGUAGGGGUGGGAAAUUCUCGGCGGUUGGGGUUGGACUCGCGGCUUAUCAGCUUGUUGGUGGGGGAGUGGCUUGCCAAGGAAUUGAAGGGUCGCCGACCCGAGAGGGUGAACGGCGACCAUGGGCCUGCGGGACGGCGCAGACGCCAACGGGGGGCAGCGGUGGGGAGUAUUGCCCAGUGGUAGGGAGCCUGUUGCAGAGACGUCGGGUGUGUGAUGACGGCUUUUGGGGUGUAAACCGCUUCAGCCUGUGACGCAGCGUGAGUGACGGUAAUCGGUAAAGAAGCACCGGCUAACUACGUG
Molecule: ribosomal RNA, 468 nt
Filed under: uncultured bacterium
Lineage: Bacteria
Description: partial 16S ribosomal RNA
Rfam family: Bacterial small subunit ribosomal RNA
Source: RNAcentral